This 254-nucleotide ribosomal RNA is filed under the name uncultured bacterium. RNAcentral's name for it is "partial 16S ribosomal RNA". It matches the Rfam family "Bacterial small subunit ribosomal RNA", at positions 524 to 776 of the family's 1533-position model. The record is from RNAcentral.
CACGUAGGGACCAAGCGUUGUCCGGAUUCAUUGGGCGUAAAGAGCUCGUAGGCGGUUCGGUAAGUCGGGUGUGAAACCUCCAGGCUCAACCUGGAGACGCCACCCGAUACUGCUGUGACUAGAGUCCAGUAGGGGAGCGUGGAAUUCCUGGUGUAGCGGUGAAAUGCGCAGAUAUCAGGAGGGACACCAGCGGCGAAGGCGGCGCUCUGGGCUGGAACUGACGCUGAGGCGCGAAAGCUAGGGUAGCAAACGGG